ACCUAGGGCUUGGAGUAGGUAAGUAAAGGGCACAGGAUUUCUUUUUGGGGAGACGAAAAUGUUCUAAAAUAGAUUGUGGUGAUGGUUGCACAACUCUAUGACUAUUAAAACCUAUUGAAUUGUGCACUUUAAAUGCGUGAGUUGUGGUAUAUGAAUUAUAUCUCAAUAAAGCUGUUACAAAAGUCAGUGGGAAAAAAUGUCGCAGGUUGGGGGGAACGGAGAGGAAAACCAGAUAAGUUUAAAAGAGACUCACUGAAAAAUCAUUCUUCACACUUACACUUGUGUUCAGUGUUUCUUUUCUUUAACUUGACCUUGUCCUCUUGGUCCCACCAGACACCUACUUUGGGCAAGGGUAUCCUCAUAUCUAACUGCCCGGACUGGAAAAAAGGUGUCAGCGUAUGACUAAAAAGAAUUCAGUGAAAUCCCAGUAAACUCUACCCCCAAUGUGGGACUGGAACUCCCCACCAGAGAUCAGGAGUUGCAUGCUGUACUGACUGAGCCAGCGAGGCACCUGUAGAAAUCAUCUUUUUCAUCAAAUGGCUUCACCAACCUCUUUAGAAUCCAGUGCACAAGACCAAGGAAGGAAUGGGCCCAGGAAUCCUUUGGAGGAAAUAUGGAGAGCAUUGGCAAUAGUUGUUAAGGUGAG
This is a long non-coding RNA of Prionailurus viverrinus (fishing cat), 646 nucleotides long. RefSeq lists it as uncharacterized. The record is from RefSeq and is a predicted model, not a curated record. The transcript has 3 exons. NCBI's taxonomy places the organism in Eukaryota, Metazoa, Chordata, Mammalia, Carnivora, Felidae.